GAUGAAGAACGUAGCGAAAUGCGAUAAGUAAUGUGAAUUGCAGAAUUCAGUGAAUCAUCGAAUCUUUGAACGCACAUUGCGCCCGCCAGUAUUCUGGCGGGCAUGCCUGUCCGAGCGUCAUUUCAACCCUCGAACCCCUCCGGGGGGUCGGCGUUGGGGAUCGGCCCUGCCUCUUGGCGGUGGCCGUCUCCGAAAUACAGUGGCGGUCUCGCCGCAGCCUCUCCUGCGCAGUAGUUUGCACACUCGCAUCGGGAGCGCGGCGCGUCCACAGCCGUUAAACACCCAACUUCUGAAAUGUAGACCUCGGAUCAGGUAGGAAUACCCGCUGAACUUAAGCAUAUCAAUAAGCGGAGGA
This 355-nucleotide unclassified non-coding RNA is filed under the name soil metagenome. Its description in RNAcentral is "partial contains 5.8S ribosomal RNA, internal transcribed spacer 2, and large subunit ribosomal RNA". The stretch from base 1 to 120 matches the Rfam family "5.8S ribosomal RNA", at positions 35 to 154 of the family's 154-position model. The record is from RNAcentral.